GGAGGUAGUGACAAUAAAUCACAAUGCGGGACUAUUAGUUUUGCAAUUGGAUUGAGAACAAUGUAAAAGAGUUAUCGAUAAACAAUUGGAGGGCAAGUCUGGUGCCAGCAGCCGCGGUAAUUCCAGCUCCAAUAGCGUAUAUUAACGUUGUUGCAGUUAAAAAGCUCGUAGUUGAAGUGUGGGGUGAAAAAAUUGGUAAUCUUUUUGAUUGCUUAUUUGCUCACCCCCUCUCCAAUUUGUUAUUAUGGGUAUUAAUUUACUUGUAAUAGCUGUUGGUCAUUUACUGUGAGAAAAUUAGAGUGUUCAAAGCAGGCAUUUGCUUGAAUAUAUUAGCAUGGAAUAAUAGUAAAAGGCUUUUGUGGUCGAUUUAAUUGGUUUGUUCAUAAAAGCAAGAUUAAUAGGGACAGUUGGGGGUAUUCAUAUUCAAUAGUUAGAGGUGAAAUUCUCGGAUUUAUGGAAGAUGAACAAGUGCGAAAGCA
This 479-nucleotide ribosomal RNA is filed under the name Blastocystis sp. RNAcentral describes it as "SSU rRNA". It matches the Rfam family "Eukaryotic small subunit ribosomal RNA", at positions 460 to 953 of the family's 1831-position model. Lineage: Eukaryota; Bigyra; Opalinata; Blastocystidae. The record is from RNAcentral.